AUCACGAACAGUCGAACAUCAUGGAUGUUCGUUCAAAUUCUUGCGUUGCUUAGGUCGAAUUUGAACUUAAGCAUAGCCUCUACUAGGCAUUUAGUUUUUGUUACUGUAUAAUUCAUGCGUUGUCCGCCCAAAUCCAAAUUAACCAAGAAUAAAUCAUUUUGAGGUUAUGUUUCGCUAUUGGAUCCCAGGCUACCUUUGCCUAUUGCUAGGCCUAAAUUGAGAUGUUGUGUAAAUGACGCCAUAUAGAUGAUCUUCAUAAAAUCACAACCAAGUUAAGACUCCAAGAAUCAACUUAUACACUGCCCUAACUUAGAAAGGUACUGAACCGGAAAUGUGAAUUCUCAAAGAAACUGUUGAAAUAACUUCAUACAAAAAGAAGCAGUUAUAGGUGAAUCGGUUAAGGUUUCUGCUUAACCAGAAUAAAGGGAAGAAGUCUGUUUUGGAUGCAGUUUUCCCAACAUUCAUUGGUUAUUGAAGAGUUAUUUUUGUAGGAAAUAUACCCCAAAUUGUAUCCCUCUCCCUGAGGUCAGAUGUGAAAUAUA
Molecule: long non-coding RNA, 542 nt
Organism: Macrosteles quadrilineatus (aster leafhopper)
Lineage: Eukaryota; Metazoa; Arthropoda; Insecta; Hemiptera; Cicadellidae
Exons: 3
Source: RefSeq, a predicted model, not a curated record